This 9031-nucleotide long non-coding RNA is filed under the name Ananas comosus (pineapple). Its description in RNAcentral is "long non-coding RNA (ACOM_LNC019938)". The record is from RNAcentral. Lineage: Eukaryota; Viridiplantae; Streptophyta; Magnoliopsida; Poales; Bromeliaceae.
CCAAAACAACAUCGGUCACCCACUAAGUCUACAAAAGGGAGCAAGGAUAGUAGGAAAAGCAGGAAGUACACUCUACCGCUAUCAAUCACUACACUAUCAUGCUCUACGCUAACCAACUGUAGGAAAUGCCAAAUCUGACCCAAUCCAAUCGGGACUAUAAGCAUACCCGUCCCCGAGACUGUGAAUACACCCGACCCUGCCCCGUUGCGACUGUCCAGCUACCUCCACACUAACUGGUCCGUGGAGAGCAAGUCCAACUGGCAUGAGCGACACCAACGCGAAAGCACAAAGCCCGUCUCCGGAGUGGCACUCGUGGGCGCUACCCAACCGAGUAUGCAGCGUAUCUCUGUCGAGCUCAAUCAGGCUCUAACUAGCCAAAGUCAAGUAAUCGACUCAAAAUGGUCUAACAACCAACAGGUAACGUGCCCUCGGCACAAUCUGACGCCAAAAAGGCGAUACGGGUCCACCGUCAACUCUGACGGCACCCAACAGUCCGGAACAACCUGAACGACCCUGUAAAAAUCCACUCGGCAUACAAGCACGAGCGUAAAUGUAUUCUAAACUACCUGGAGUACUCGUCUUGAGGAUACUGCGACAGUACAUUUUUAUAACGGCUCCUAGAGCUAAAUCAGGCAGUUUAAACAGGUGACAGGUCCAAAUCGCAGGUUUUCUCCUAAUUCAAUUUCCAAGUCCAACAUGUAUAACCUACUUAAUUUAUUACUACAUGCUUCAAAUUCAGUUUUGUAAUCUAUCAUAUAAUUCAUGAAUUCGAGCUAAAAUAGAUUAUCAAAAAUCGAGAUCUAUACAUGUCGACGAUUAUGAACUUAGGAGUCCAAACCGAUGUAACCCACCUCGCACGCUAAUCCCUCGCAGCACGGAACCCCCUCGGCUGCGACACCACCUGCUGGAUCGACCAAAAACGCCCGAGUCUCGAAAUCAAGCUAACUCCAAACUAAAAACACCAAAAAUCCUUAAUUCAGUCUAAAAUCCACAACAGCAGAGAAGAGAAGGAUUUCGACCAAGCUAACCUUCACCAAAAUUUGCAAGUAAGGGCUUCGUGGAUUCCUCUCGAAGUCCCGAAUCCAACAAACCAAGUCUCGUCGCAAUCCGAUGCUCCUACGUCUCGUACGAGCCAAAAUACCCACAGUCGACGCAGAAAUCUGCAGCAGUAGCACCCGAGCUCGAAAUUAAUGGAAUUGAAGUACUUGGAGGAAUGCCCACAGAUAAAACACUUCAACAUGUACCUAGAAUCAGCACGACGUCAAGGAUGGCGAAAAGCCGCACUCGCCCGACCUCAUCGCAGCAACACGACGUCGAAAGUGUGCUCGAAUGGCUUCGCGGCGCGACGUCGGCGACGAAUUCCCCAACCGAGCUCCUCCCUAGCCUAUGAUCGGUUUGAGAGUGAGAGAGAGGAAGUAGCAGCAGAGGAACUCCCUCUCUCUGUCCUCACAAGGCUAAAUAGAGAGAGGGAGGGCUGGUGAUACAAACGAGGGAGAGAAAAGACCAAAACACCCUCUCACCUACCCUGGUGUACCGGUACACGGGAUCGCGUACCGGUACAGGAGCCAACCCGAGAGCAACCCACGCGCGGCCCAGUGCAGUGUACCGGUACACCUUAAUGGCUGUACCGGUACAGCAAGCAAAAAAACUGCAAUCUGCAGAUUUUCUUCGCUGAAAGUUGCCCUCGCGUCGCACGGAGCCCGUUUUGCUUCUAUUUGACGCCAACGCGACUCGGACUUGUCCCGACACUCUCCAGAGCUAUCGACAAACCUCCAUAGUCAAACACCAGGGAUCUCACAUCCUCCCCCACUACAAAAGGUUUCGUCCGCGAAACCGAAACGUACCUCUGCUCAGGCAUCGAACAAAUAAGGAUAGGCUUCCCUCAUCGCCGUCUCAGACUCCCAAGUCGCCUCCCGCUCAUCAUGAUUCCACUGCACUUUCACCUGCGGGAUGACCCGGUUGCUCAAUUCUUUCGUCUCCCGAGCAAGAAUCCGCAACGGCCGCUCCUCGUAUCUCAGAUCCUCGCCAAUCUCAAGUGGAGUGAAGUCAAUCAAAUGAGAGGGAUCGAAAACGUAUCUCCUCAAUGCUGAGACAUGAAAAACAUCGUGGAUGCCAGCAAGUCGCGGGGUAGAGCUAUCCUGUAAGCAACCGGUCCGAUACGCUCCAAUACCUCGAAAAGGCCAACAAACCGUGGACUAAGCUUUCCACGUACUCCAAAUAGGCGUAUCCCUCUGGACGGCGAGACUUUGAGAAAAACAUGAUCUCCAACCUGAAACUCCAAGUCUCGUCUCCUGGUAUCGGCGUAGCUCCUCUGUCGGCUCUGUGCUGUCAAAAGGUGUCGUCGAACGACUCUCACCUUUUCCUCAGCCUCAAGUAGAAUCUCUGGUCCAAGUGUCCUCCGCUCACCCACAUCACUCCAAAACAGAGGGGAUCGACAUCUGCGUCCAUACAACGCCUCAACGGAGCCAUCUGAAUGCUCGUUUGAUAGCUGUUGUUGUACGCAAACUCAACCAGUCUCACAUGUCGAUACCACCCUCCUCCAAAAUCCAGGACGCAUGCCCUCAGCAUGUCCUCUAGAGUCUGUAUGGUCCGCUCUGACUGACCAUCUGUCUGUGGGUGGAACGCCGUGCUAAAAUGCAGCUGUGUACCCAAGGCUGUCUGCAAACUCCUCCAAAACUGGGAUACAAACCUCGGGUCUCUGUCUGAUACAAUCGACACUGGCACGCCGUGCAGCCUAACGAUCUCAUCCAAGUAUAGCUGCGCAAGUCUCUCCCUGGACCAGGUAGUCUGAACCGGUAGGAAGUGAGCAGACUUGGUCAGUCUGUCCACUAUCACCCAAAUCGCGUCGUAGCCACCCUGCGCUCUAGGCAAUCCAACGACGAAGUCCAUAGUGAUGUACUCCCACUUCCACUCGGGCACUGGCAGACUCUGAAGCUUGCCAGCAGGCACCUGAUGCUCGGCCUUCACCUGUUGGCAAGUCAAACACUGAGCCACAUAUCUGCCAAUGUCCCGCUUCAUUCCAGGCCACCAGAAUCGUGCCUUAAGAUCCUUAUACAUCUUGGUUCCCCCAGGAUGAACCGUAUAAGGGGAACAAUGAGCCUCUCUCAGAAUAUCCGCUCGAAUCUCCGGAUCCACAGGCACACACAGUCGGUCCCUGUACCGUAGUACUCCCGAACUGUCCAAAGCAAAUCCCUCAGCCUGCCCCCUGUCUAGCUGCUCUCUAAUCCUCAACAAGUACGGAUCUCCACUCUGUUUCUCUCGGAUCCUAUCCAACAGAGUGGGCUGUAAAACUAGAGACGUCAGCCUCGCCGUAGACCCAGGGGGUACUAUCUCGAGUCCCAGCCGCUGUAGCUCCUCGAGUAGGGGUCUCUGCUCAGUAAUCCUCAAACUCAGGCUCUGCACUGACUUCCUGCUCAACGCAUCUGCCACCACAUUCGCCCUGCCGGGAUGAUACUGAAUACUAAUGUCAUAGUCCUUCAGUAACUCCAACCACCGGCGCUGCCUCAGAUUCAGCUCCCUCUGUGUGAACAGAUACUUGAGACUUUGAUGAUCGGUGAAUACCUCGCAGUGCUCGCCGUACAAGUAAUGCCGCCAGAGCUUCAAAGCAAAAACCACCGCGGCAAGCUCCAAAUCAUGCGUAGGGUAAUUCUUCUCAUAAUCCUUUAACUGCCGUGAAGCAUAGGCAAUCACCCUACCAUGCUGCAUCAGCACGCAACCAAGUCCACUGUGCGAUGCAUCACUGUAGAUCACGAAUCCAUCCCCCAUCACCGGAAGGGCAAGGAUAGGAGCCGACGUCAACCUCAGUCUCAACUCGUCAAAGCUCCUCUGACAGUCGUCGCUCCAGACAAAACGAAUCCCCUUCCGCGUCAAGCGUGUGAGGGGUGUGGAAAGCUUCGCAAAGCCUUCCACAAACCGACGGUAAUAUCCUGCCAGUCCCAGGAAGCUCCGUACCUCAGUCACCGUCGUCGGUCUAGGCCAAUCUCGAAUCGCCUCAAUCUUCUUCGGGUCCACUGCUACGCCCUCAGCUGAAAUCACGUGGCCCAAGAAAGCAACCUCCCGUAGCCAGAACUCGCACUUCUUUAACUUGGCAUACAACUUCUUCUCGCGCAGAAGCUGUAGCACAAUCCUCAAGUGCUCCUCAUGCUCAGCAUCACUCCGGGAGUAAAUCAGGAUAUCGUCGAUGAAGACUACCACAAACCUAUCCAAGAACGGCUUGAACACUCUGUUCAUCAAAUCCAUGAAUGCAGUAGGGACAUUCGUCAAUCCAAAAGGCAUCACUGUGAACUCAUAAUGUCCGUACCGAGUCUGAAAAGCCGUCUUGGGAACAUCCUCGACCCUCACCCUCAGCUGGUGGUAACCUGACUGGAGAUCAAUCUUCAAGAAGACAUAAGAUCCCUGUAGCUGAUCAAACAAAUCAUCAAUGCGUGGCAAUGGAUACUUAUUCUUGAUGGUCACUUUAUUCAGCUUCCGGUAAUCCACACAUAACCUGAGCGAACCAUCCUUCUUCUUUACAAAUGGCACUGGCACUCCCUAAGACGAUACACUGGGUCUCACAAACCCUCUAUCCAUCAGAUCUUGAAGCUGUGCCUUUAGCUCUCUCAGCUCUGCCGGCGCCAUCCGAUAAGGUACCUUUAAGAUUGGUGCAGUUCCAGGAACUACAUCAAUCACAAACUCAAUCUCCCUCUCCGGCGGCAACGUAGUCAACUCAGGGGGAAACACAUCCGGAAACUCGCGGACUACGGGAAUAUCCUCGAGUCUCUGCGCCGCCGUAGGUACCUCCACAACUGUCGCUAAGAAAGCAAUACACCCGCUACUCAGCAUCUGUCGAGCCCUCGCCGAAGAUAUCUAAGUGGCAAACAGCAUGCUCCUGCAGCCUCUGAAAGUGAACUCCUCCUGGCCUGUCUCGCGAAACAUCACCGUCCUCGCUCCACCGUCGAUGGUAGCAUAGUACCGCGCCAGCCAAUCCAUACCGAGCACAACGUCGAAGUCCUGCAGCUGCCCUAGCACCAACAGGUCUGCGAGCAUGACCCACGAAUCCAACUGCACCGGACACGACCAACAACACUCUGCAACCUAUAAAACAUGGUCCGGGAUCUGUACCUCUCGUGCCUCUGACAAUGCCCCUAACUCUAGACCAUGCAACAAUGCAAAUGCUCGGCUAACAAAAGAAUAUGAGGCUCUAGUAUCAAAAAGAGUACGAGUACGAAUGCCGGAAAUCAAAGUGAUACCUGCCACCACUCGGUCGGCUGCUGUAGAGUCCUCCACCUGAGCUGCAUAGACUCUGCCACUUGGAGCCUGCUGUCACCGCUCACCCUGUCGCGGCAUGGACGACCUAUCCUCCUAACGGUAACUCGGUGCUGCUCUGUAAGUCUGCUGAGGUGUUGGUGGAGCCGAAGCUGAUGAUGGUGCUGGAGAUGCUGCUCGGGGAAAAGCUGCCCUCAUGUGUCCCGGCUGACCACACCCGUAGCACUGGCCCUCCCUCUGCUCACACUGUCUGGGCCAGUGUGGUCCUCCGCAGAUCACACACUGCGGCGUCCUCUCAGGUUGUCCCCUCUGACGAGAGUCCUUGGAUCGCUGACGCCCCGAGAACCCACGACCCUGUGAACGUGAUCGUGGAGGCCUCGGCGGACGCCUGCUACUCAACUGACCUCCGUCGUCUGGAGCUGGGCGCUUCCUGUCCUGACUCGGUCCUGGCCCCUGAGCCCUCUCCCGCAGCGACACCUCUCCUCUCUCCUCCCAUAAUGCCUGCUCAAUGGACGCAUCCAGAGUCCUCGACCUCUGCGCCCUAACAAACCUAAAUAGAUCGGGUCUCAAACCCUGCUCGAACAAAUAGACCCUAUGUGCCUCGUCUCUGGCCACAAACGGAACACAGUUCAGGAGUCUAGUAAACUCCCGAACAUACUCCUGAACUGUCCGCUCGCCCUGCUGGAUCCUCUUCAAAUCCUCCUCAAUCUUCUGUUUCAUGCUGUUGGGAAAAUACAUCCCAUACAGCAUUCCAUAGAACUCAUCCCACCUCAGCUGCGCUGCCUCCAAUCUCUGGUCUCGCCUCGCUCUCCGCCACCAAUCACGUGCAUCACCUGAUAAACAGUGUACUCCCAGAGGUACCUGCUCCCCCUCUGGAACGUACAGAUCCUCAAAUAAUCUCUCCAUCGCACUGACCCAUCCCUCAACAACCCAGGCCUCAGUGCCUCUGCCAUCGAAAAUCAGUGGAUCAAAUCGGCGAAAACGAGCUAACCUCUCCGUCCACCGCUCCUGCUCGGCCUCAGUCAACUAUACGGGCCCCCUAGCAGGCGCAACUGGCGCUACAGGGACUACUGCUGGGGGAGGGGCUGCUGUAGCUGGUGCUGUCACUGGAGUAGUCGGGGGUGGAACAGUCUACUCUGGUACACUCGGUGCUGAACUCGGUGAAUGAGCUAUCCUCUCACACAACCUCUGCAACAACUCCCCCUGCUGCCUCGUCACCUCAGUCAGGGCAGCCAACUGCGCACUCAGAUCAGGGGGUGCGCUAGCCUCAGGUCGCGCACUCGGCUCCACAACAGGGGGUGCACUCGCCUCCGGUCUGUCCUUCUGCUCCUGCCGAGCACUCUGCUCCAUCUGCUCAGGUCUCUCAAAAGGUCCAGCACGAUUCCGCAACGACGGUCGACCUCGGCGACGAUACAUAGCUGAAAAGAAAAAAUCGGGGUCAGAUACCAUACAACACUCUCGACCCAAUCAACGAAAGUCUGGAAGGCUGUCCCUGUUUCCCUCCAAAAUUAUGUCGUCUGCAGCCAACAAAAUUUCUCAGGCCAAAACAGGUACUCCUUCAAUCACUCACCCCACUUUUGGAGGAGUUAAAACAACUAAUCAUUGACUUUCGCAAUAAAUUACGCCUCUCGCGUCUUGCUUCCCUAAGGUUUGCCAAACUUAGGUUUCCUAGGUCCCAACAACCUAUAACAAAGCUCUGAUACCAACUUAAUCUGUCAUGCCCCGGAUGUCUCGUUCCCCGGCCACGCCGACAAAUCCAUCGUAUACAAAGGACUUUCCCCUGUAUACAAAACGUCAAAAGUACCUGUAGAUAUACAAUACUACAAACAGUAGUAUAGAGCUGCUCAAUAAACAGAAGCUAAACAACUGAGUUUCAUAUACAUAGUCGAAGUUCAAAAUACAGAGUUACCCACACUGGCGAGUUAAGUAAGCUAUGUACAUAAACUCAGACAAAACAUCUACCUGCAGUAGGGGUGCCUCUAGCUCUGUCAGUCGAGUAGGGCUCUAGCUCGCGAUGCCCUUGCCUCGAUCCUGAUCCGCGGAAGGCGCAGCAGCCGAAACUUGUGGCUCUGCAAAACAAGAGUAACAACUGGGCGUGAGAACUAUUGCAAAAACAAGUAGUCCUCAGUGGGUACCGCCCAAAACAACAUCGGUCACCCACUAAGUCUACAGAAGGGAGCAAGGAUAGUAGGAAAAGCAGGAAGUACACUCUACCGCUAUCAAUCACUACACUAUCAUGCUCUACGCUAACCAACUGUAGGAAAUGCCAAAUCUGACCCAAUCCAAUCGGGACUGUAAGCAUACCCGUCCCCGGGACUGUGAAUACACCCGACCCUGCCCCGUUGCGACUGUCCAGCUACCUCCACACUAACUAGUCCGUGGAGAGCAAGUCCAACUGGCAUGAGCGACACCAACGCGAAAGCACAAAGCCCGUCUCCGGAGUGGCACUCGUGGGCGCUACCCAACCGAGUAUGCAGCGUAUCUCUGUCGAGCUCAAUCAGGCUCUCAAUAGCCAAAGUCAAGUAACCGACUCAAACUGGUCUAACAACCAACAGGUAACGUGCCCUCGGCACAAUCUGACGCCAAAAAGGCGAUACGGGUCCACCGUCAACUCUGACGGCACCCAACAGUCCGGAACAACCUGAACGACCCUGUAAAAAUCCACUCGGCAUACCAGCACGAGCGUAAAUGUAUUCUAAACUACCUGGAGUACUCGUCUUGAGGAUACUGCGACAGUAUAAUUUUAUAACGACUCCUAGAGCUAAAUCAGGCAGUUUAAACAGGUGACAGGUCCAAAUCGCAGGUUUUCUCCUAAUUCAAUUUCCAAGUCCAACAUGUAUAACCUACUUAAUUUAUUACCACAUGCUCCAAAUUCAGAUUUGUAAUCUAUCAUAUAAUCCAUGAAUUCGAGCUAGAAUAGAUUAUCAAAAAUCGAGAUCUAUACAUGUCGACGAUUAUGAACUUAGGAGUCAAAACCGAUGUAACCCACCUCGCACGCUAAUCCCUGGCAGCACGGAACCCCCUCGGCUGCGACACCACCUGCUGGAUCGACCAAAAACGCCCGAGUCUCGAAAUCGAGCUAACUCCAAACUAAAAACACCAAAAAUCCUCAAUUCAGUCUAAAAUCCACAACAGCAGAGAAGAGAAGGAUUUCGACCAAGCUAACCUUCACCAAAAUUUGCAAGUAAGGGCUUCGUGGAUUCCUCUCGAAGUCCCGAAUCCAACGAACCUAGUCUCGUCGCAAUCCGAUCCUCCUACGUCGCGUACGAGCCAAAAUACCCACAGUCGACGCAGAAAUCUGCAGCAGUAGCACCCGAGCUCGAAAUUAAUGGAAUUGAAGUACUUGGAGGAAUGCCCACAGAUAAAACACUUCAACAUGUACCUAGAAUCAGCACGACGUCAAGGAUGGCGAAAAGCCGCACUCGCCCGACCUCCUCGCAGCAACACGACGUCGAAAGUGUGCUCGAAUGGCUUCGCGGCGCGACGUCGGCGACGAAUUCCCCAACCGAGCUCCUCCCUAGCCUAUGAUCGGUUUGAGAGUGAGAGAGAGGAAGUAGCAGCAGUGGAACUCCCUCUCUCUGUCCUCACAAGGCUAAAUAGAGAGAGGGGGGGCUGGUGAUACAAACGAGGGAGAGAAAAGACCAAAACACCCUCUCACCUACCCUGGUGUACCGGUACACGGGAUCGCGUACCGGUACAGGAGCCAACCCGAGAGCAACCCGCGCGCGGCCCAGUGCAGUGUACCGGUACACCUUAAUGGCUGUAUCGGUACAGCAAGCAGAAAAAC